AUGCCCUCCUCUCGAUGCAGCAGCAACCCUACUCGGGGGGAGGCGAUUGGUUCCUUGACACAGGAGCAUCUUCACACAUGGCUGCCCAUCCCGGAUCUGCAUUCCGGGACGGUGGUGCUCCGAUGUGACAGCCCCGACGAGCUCUACCCGCUUCGCAUCGCGCCUCACACCACCGCGACUGCCCUCCUCGCCGACACAACCAGCUCCACGCUCUGGCAUGCCCGCCUCGGCCAUCCCGGGCACGCCGCUUUAUCUAGGGUUUUAGCUACCUUUCCUUUCAAAUGUAAUAAAGUGCACGAACACUCAUGCCAUGCUUGUCAGCUAGGAAAACAUACUCGACUUCCUUUUCAGGAAUCCUCCCAUUUGUGA
Molecule: ribosomal RNA, 369 nt
Filed under: Triticum aestivum (bread wheat)
Lineage: Eukaryota; Viridiplantae; Streptophyta; Magnoliopsida; Poales; Poaceae
Description: partial small subunit ribosomal RNA
Source: RNAcentral